Molecule: ribosomal RNA, 253 nt
Filed under: uncultured bacterium
Lineage: Bacteria
Description: partial 16S ribosomal RNA
Rfam family: Bacterial small subunit ribosomal RNA
Source: RNAcentral
UACGUAGGGUGCAAGCGUUGUCCGGAAUUAUUGGGCGUAAAGAGCUCGUAGGCGGUCUGUCGCGUCGGAUGUGAAAAUCCAGGGCUCAACCCUGGACCUGCAUUCGAUACGGGCAGACUAGAGUUCGGCAGGGGAGACUGGAAUUCCUGGUGUAGCGGUGAAAUGCGCAGAUAUCAGGAGGAACACCGGUGGCGAAGGCGGGUCUCUGGGAAACAACUGACGCUGAGGAACGAAAGCGUGGGGAGCAAACAGG